Molecule: ribosomal RNA, 497 nt
Filed under: uncultured bacterium
Lineage: Bacteria
Description: partial 16S ribosomal RNA
Rfam family: Bacterial small subunit ribosomal RNA
Source: RNAcentral
GAUGAACGCUGGCGGCGUGCCUAAUACAUGCAAGUCAAGCGAACAGACGAGGAGCUUGCUCCUCUGACGUUAGCGGCGGACGGGUGAGUAACACGUGGAUAACCUACCUAUAAGACUGGGAUAACUUCGGGAAACCGGAGCUAAUACCGGAUAAUAUAUUGAACCGCAUGGUUCAAUAGUGAAAGACGGUUUUGCUGUCACUUAUAGAUGGAUCCGCGCCGCAUUAGCUAGUUGGUAAGGUAACGGCUUACCAAGGCAACGAUGCGUAGCCGACCUGAGAGGGUGAUCGGCCACACUGGAACUGAGACACGGUCCAGACUCCUACGGGAGGCAGCAGUAGGGAAUCUUCCGCAAUGGGCGAAAGCCUGACGGAGCAACGCCGCGUGAGUGAUGAAGGUCUUCGGAUCGUAAAACUCUGUUAUUAGGGAAGAACAAAUGUGUAAGUAACUAUGCACGUCUUGACAGUACCUAAUCAGAAAGCCACGGCUAACUACGUG